GUUGAGAUGAAACGUAAUGGGGGGUGGAAGGUUGCUGGUCGACUUAGCACUCUGAUGGAACCACACAAUUGAAAGUGGUGGCUGAGUGGCACAGACUCCAAAAGUCGGUUUAGUGUUUGAUGCAUUUCCCAAGAAAGCCAACAUUACUCCAACUGACACAACAGUUCUUCAUGGUGAUGCCAGCAUCUCACAAGUCAGACUAAUGACCAACAUUUUUACCUCUGAAGCUAAGCAGGAUGGAAGACCAGAUGCUGCUGGAAGCGGUGUUGGAGGGCAAGUAAAGGGGACUCUUUCCUCUGGUUUAAAUAUCAAACCCCAAAGCACUAAGGUCGUGAAGUGGACAUCUUUCAAAUGGGUUGUUAAAUGGGUGUCCUGACUCUCCAUUUUCCUUCAGACAUGUGCUACGGACCGUAGUCAGAACAUAUUCUGGAUGUUUAUGAUAGAGACCUGACGUGACAAAGCGUGUGGGUGUGAUCACUCUGAAUGUAGAUCUUAUCCAACCACCAGGAAAUGUAGGUGAUGUGGCAAAUUGUGGAGUUUGCCUCAACUGGUUUCCCCCGAGUUCAGCUCUUACAUCCAAAGCAAGGGGAUCCAGCCCAUUAGAACGGCCUGGUAAACCCUUACUGCUCUACCACUGCAGUCUGUCCUGCCAGGUUGAUUCUGGUACUAGACCUGCCUUUACACAACCCAACAGCAUAGAAAGCAGGAGCGCUACAAAACCUUAAAGAAGCACGGCUUCCUGGAAUCCAAGUGAUCGAUUUUGCAGAGUGCCAGGGCCACAUCGAGCAGACAAGCUCUGGACCUUGUGGUUUGCCCCACGUCACAACAGCAGUUAGGCCCAGGAACUUUUCAACUGACUGACGACUGGUGCUGCCACGCCCCCUGCAUGUCCUCACUCUGCCAUUGAUGCCACCCGGUUCUGGUUCACUACCGGCAGCAUGGGCUCCCUUUGCCCAACCUGGAGUUUAAGUGCCAACCCCCCAAAUACCUGUGGUUGUUGCUGUGGCA
This is a long non-coding RNA of Esox lucius (northern pike), 1008 nucleotides long. The record is from Ensembl. Lineage: Eukaryota; Metazoa; Chordata; Actinopteri; Esociformes; Esocidae.